RNAcentral lists this ribosomal RNA (253 nucleotides) under uncultured prokaryote. RNAcentral describes it as "partial 16S ribosomal RNA". It matches the Rfam family "Bacterial small subunit ribosomal RNA", at positions 525 to 777 of the family's 1533-position model. The record is from RNAcentral.
ACGAAGGGGGCUAGCGUUGUUCGGAAUCACUGGGCGUAAAGAGCACGUAGGCGGACUUGUUAGUCAGGGGUGAAAUCCCGGGGCUCAACCCCGGAACUGCCUUUGAAACUGCAAGUCUUGAGUCCGAGAGAGGUGAGUAGAAUUCCUAGUGUAGAGGUGAAAUUCGUAGAUAUUAGGAAGAACACCAGUGGCGAAGGCGGCUCACUGGCUCGGUACUGACGCUGAGGUGCGAAAGCGUGGGGAGCAAACAGGA